Wyeomyia smithii (pitcher-plant mosquito) is the source of this 1549-nucleotide long non-coding RNA. RefSeq lists it as uncharacterized. The transcript has 3 exons. Lineage: Eukaryota; Metazoa; Arthropoda; Insecta; Diptera; Culicidae. The record is from RefSeq and is a predicted model, not a curated record.
CAUAACUCCCUAUUGAAUUUUGCAGUAAUCGGACUGUAACUUCGUCUGUAAUGUAUCGAAAUGUGAAAAUCACGAAACUUCAUUAUCUUAGAAACUACACAACCGAUUUGAACAAUAUUGAUAUCAGAUGAACGGGCUAGUUAAGGGUUAACUGAUGAAUUAUGAUUGAACACGUGGUUUCAAAGUUUGGCUGCCCCAUACGUUACCUUUUCAUUUGAUUGUAAUCAAGCUUAAGCAAGCGUUAUGUUUUAAUUUGUAAAACAACGAAAGUCUAUUAUCUCAAGUACUACACGACUUAUUUGAACAUAACUAGUGUCAUACAAAUGAGUCAUCUCUCAAACUUACAAAUAACAAACUUCAUAACAAUUUGAUAUGCUGUUUAAAAGUUUUAGAAAGAACAGAAAUUCAAAGACUAUUCAACACUUUACCUGCUUCGAUCAAUAUAUAUGGCCUCAACAUGAUUUAGAUGUGGUAUCGUACUAUCUGAACGUUCCCGGCAUCGCUCGUGAUUAAAUUGUUCGAAAUUAAGAGUCAUUGCUUUUAUUUCGCUAUUUCUUAAGUACUAACAUUACGUCAAAUUUCAUAUUUUAUACUUUAAUUACAACAUCAAUAUUUUAGAACCCAAAGAGUGGAUAAACAUUUAUUGGAUUUAAGCAUUCAUGUAAAUCUAUUUUUACAAAUAAUAAGUUUGAAUGAGAAAGGCUGAGUCUGACCGCUAGGUGGAUUAAUUUAGGUUUUUUUGAUAAACAUUGAUAGUUAAAGUAUGCAUAAAACACAAGAUAAUCGUGCCUAUCUAAAAUUUCCCUUUUAAAAAUGAAAUUUGUUUGGCGAAAUAUGCAAUUGGAACCAAAUUUACAAACUCCGAUGCAAAAACAUAAGCGGGUCAUGGACCUGAAUGAUGCAUUAAAAGUUGACUAUUUACAUUUUGUAGGCAACUUGAGCAGCAUUUUUAGGCAGUUUAUUCUGCUAAAAUUUGUGAUAAGUAGAAGGGUGACAAAGUGUGAGCCGACAGACAUGGAUAGUGAUGCGGCAGGAGUAAUUUUGCGAAGCACGACCAACUGAGCUCGUUCCUUUGAAGUAAAUUAGUCCAUUAAAAGACGGUCGCCGAUAAGAAAAUCAGCCUGGUCUACAAGCGGCAUAAACUGCAGAACAAGCCGCUACUGAAGCAUCGUAUCAUGCAGAACAUCAUCAAUGGCAAACGUACUGACGGGACUUGCGUCAGGCCGCCCUGCAUAGUGCUGAUGUUAUGCGAUUCCAGCGACUGGCGACGGCCUAUAAGAACAGGACUGGUGGUUCCACUGUCUACGAAAGUGCAGGUGCCACUUCCCAAAAAGGUCUAGUGAGCAAAGGUGGACGAUGGAUUUGUAAUUGUGGUGAAUAGGGCCCAAAUGCAGAUAUUUAGUUGGCUCGACUAGGCCAUGUAUUUCAAAUGAGCUGAGCUGCUCGUCGAAGCUUUCGUAAUACAGCCCUAUGAUGUGGGAAUUUUCGUCAUGCAGUAUAAAAUUAGAAGAUGAAAAAUAAAAUAAUUGUUAAACCCUACUAUUCGCAA